AUCCAGGGUAAAACUAAUGUCUAAGGUGGAAAUGGAAGUUAAGUAAGGUAGAUGGAAAAGACUCUCAAAGGGUUAUUCUGAACAAAAAGGAAAGGAAGGUGGCGUGAAUUUGGAAAUAAAGACUGAAGCUUUUUUUCUUGAUGUAACAGGAAAUUAAGCCAUCAGGGAGUGAUGUCACAGGAAAGCUGAAGAAGAUUGCAGGUCCAGGAAGAAUGGACGACCCUGACUUUAUUACAGACGCUUCCUGACUUAUGCUGAUUUAACUCAAGAUGUUUGGCGUUUGUGAUGGUCCCAAAGCAGUAUCCAUUCUUCACAUUUUGAAUUUCCAUCUUCUCUCAGGUUAUUGGUGUCCAGUAUGAUACUCGUUGUGAUUCUGGGUGAGCGUAGCUCCCAAUGGACCAGGAAAUCACAAGGGUGAACAACUAACAGACUUACAACAUUUUUUUGUGAUGUUCUGUACAGUAUUCAAUAAAGUCCAUGAAAUGGUCAACGCUUGGUUAUAAAAUAGGCUUUGUGUUUAAUGAUUUUGCCCAAAUGUAGGUUGACAGAAAUGUUCUGAACAUGUUCUGCACAUUGUGGGCUAUGACUCAACUUUCAGUAAGUCAAGUGUAUUAAAUGUAUUUGUGACUUAAUGCUAUUUUCAGCAUAAAUGGGUUUAUUGGGACGUAACCCCGUUGUAAGUCAAAGAAGGUCUGUACUAUGGCUUCAUCGUGUUUUGAUGUCCUGUAAAUUCAAAUAUGCCUUCAUUCAUCUUUCUUCUUCUUCAAACUUGCCCUGAAUUUUAGAGCCAGCUUGUCACUUUUCUUAGCUUGUUGGGGAUUUAAUUGCAUUAACUUUUAAAGCAUGUUGGUGAAAAGUCCUAUCUUUAAAAUAGUGAUUCUUCCCAUACAUUACAUGCUGUAACUAUUUCCAGGUCUUCUUUUAUGUCCCUAAAUAAUGUUUUCUAGGUUUCUUCAAAAGGUCUUGAAUAUUUAUUGGAAAUAAAUUUAUCCUUAGACAUUUUAAGUUU
Molecule: long non-coding RNA, 1009 nt
Organism: Suricata suricatta (meerkat)
Lineage: Eukaryota; Metazoa; Chordata; Mammalia; Carnivora; Herpestidae
Exons: 2
Source: RefSeq, a predicted model, not a curated record